CUGGCGGCGUGCCUAAUACAUGCAAGUCGAACGCACUCUCGUUUAGAUUGAAGGAGCUUGCUCCUGAUUGAUAAACAUUUGAGUGAGUGGCGGACGGGUGAGUAACACGUGGGUAACCUGCCCUAAAGUGGGGGAUAACAUUUGGAAACAGAUGCUAAUACCGCAUAAAACCUAACACCGCAUGGUGUAGGGUUGAAAGAUAGUUUCGGCUAUCACUUUAGGAUGGACCCGCGGUGCAUUAGUUAGUUGGUGAGGUAAAGGCUCACCAAGACCGUGAUGCAUAGCCGACCUGAGAGGGUAAUCGGCCACACUGGGACUGAGACACGGCCCAGACUCCUACGGGAGGCAGCAGUAGGGAAUCUUCCACAAUGGACGAAAGUCUGAUGGAGCAACGCCGCGUGAGUGAAGAAGGUUUUCGGAUCGUAAAACUCUGUUGUUGGAGAAGAAUGUAUCUGAUAGUAACUGAUCAGGUAGUGACGGUAUCCAACCAGAAAGCCACGGCUAACUACGUG
RNAcentral lists this ribosomal RNA (512 nucleotides) under uncultured bacterium. RNAcentral's name for it is "bacterial SSU rRNA". It matches the Rfam family "Bacterial small subunit ribosomal RNA", at positions 36 to 507 of the family's 1533-position model. The record is from RNAcentral.